GCUAGACUUCUUUUACCUAGAUCCACCUGAUCAACCUUGUAAACAGCUCAUAACUGCUAAACUACAAUAAGACUUCUAUGUUAGAUACUGAAGUCCCCUGGGCCUUCUCUUUAUUCUCUUUGUGGGAAGCUAUAUUCAUAGCAAUCCUGCUGACCUUAUAAUUUGGCCCAUAUAUUCUUAACUGUUUCUUUCACUUUGUCUCCUCCAGACUCAAAAUUAUGUGGCUACCAAGAUGACAAUGUCUGGUGCUUAUCAAAGGCUUUUAGAUAGACCUGCAGAGUACCUCUGGCUGCUGAUCACAACUACAGCCCUCUUUAGCUGUGUGUGGCGAAGAAGACAGAGCUCACCAGGACUUGUGCAGACAGGAAGCAUCCAUCACAGACCUCUCCAAGGCACAAAUGUUACCUUGGCCAACAGCUUUCAGAGAGCACACCCUCCUUCCAGCAACAGGCCUGUUCCACCUUGUUACAUCUUGUCCUGUCCUGUGCUGGCAAACCCAUGGCCUGCAGGCUCCUUCACCACCCUAAGUGGAGAUACAGUGCCUUUGCCCCCAUCAUCCCAGCUCAACACUUUUCCUGCCAAACAUCUCUUGGAGGCAGUGGGAGGCCGGCACUGGAAGGGAGACCAGAAGCCAAGACUUUAGAUGGCUUGAAGAUGCAUAAGCUCGUGUUCAUCUCAAGAGUAAGAGGAACAGCACAGACUAUUAAUAAUGCACUGUUGGGUACAUUGUUUUCAUUGUUGUUUUGCCGUUGUUCAAAAGGACCAGAUCAGAUCCUAUUAUGGGAUAGGGUUACUAUGAACUUAAUAAACAUUGCCAUUUUCAGUCAUUCUGGGAUACGUUAAUACUGCAGUAAGGCUGAAUUCAAGGGCAUUUCCAAUGAAGUUAGAUCAGUGGAUCCCUGCAACAUGAGGUUAGGUCUAGGGGUAAGCAGAGAAGUGUCCAGGAGAAGAUUCCUGAGUAGCCCCCAGAGUGGAAAUACUUAGUCUUUAUGUUUUUCUUUCUAACAUGCUUCCUUUCUUAUCACAAAGCAAACUUAACAAACCUUCAGCAAAGUCUUAACAAAUUGUAUUCUUAGUUUCAACUAUUACUGCUUGGGAUUGAGGAUAGGGUCAACAUUCACGUUAGCCAAGGUGGCAUGGGGAAAACAGCAGCAGCUUGCCUUUGAGAAGAGCAUAUAUAACUAUAGAAAGAGCAAAUAAUCAUCUGAUUCCUAGGUAAACAUUAAUGAAAAGUGAGUCCCAGAAUUGGUCUGCGAAGUGUGUGCUUCUUGGAGUUUCUCAGAAACACUUGGCGGUAAAAG
RNAcentral lists this long non-coding RNA (1301 nucleotides) under Fukomys damarensis (Damara mole-rat). RNAcentral describes it as "lncRNA (ENSFDAG00000025924.1)". The record is from RNAcentral. Lineage: Eukaryota; Metazoa; Chordata; Mammalia; Rodentia; Bathyergidae.